GGAAGAGGGCGCGGAGAGAAGAGUGGUGGGGAGGAUAGCGCCGAUGGUAGGGAAGAAAAUAAAGUGAAAAAUAGAAAUAAAAGAGAAUGACAAGUGGCUCCAACAAUUGACACGUGGGAUCCAUAGAUAACUGUUGCUAACGGUGUCACAAUGGCAUUCAACACAACCCUCUCAACCUAUGCAACCAAAUAAAAAACUGGGACGGACCUAUCUCUCUUAACCAAACACGAAAUGGGUCGAACCCAACCCACAAAACUAGGACGGAGCCAACAUAUUCCACUUGGUUCUCAAACCAAACACAUGCCUAUUGACUAGAGUUCCAUUCGGUAUGUAUGCUAGUAUAUUUGGUGUGCAGAACAUAACGUAGUUUCGAGCUUUUUUUUUUACUGAAGUCAGCAGAGAAAGCUCCUACAAUUUCGAACCUUUUGCCAGCCUACUUUCGAUUGCCAUGGUUCUUAAAAAAACUUCAACACCUUUUUUUUUCUACAACUACAAAUUGCUAGAAAUAUCAAAUGUUUUGCUUUCGACUGGCAUGGUUCUUAAAAAGAACUUCAACACCUUUUUUUUCUACAACUACAAAUUGCUAGAAAUAUCAAAUGUUUUUAUUAUAAUUAUGGUGAUAGUAUAUUUUUGUCUCCUCUAAAUAUUUAAAUUUGGUUUGAUAAAAUUCAAAGUUGUCAAGAAAUUUGAAACGAAUAGCUUUGUCUCCCUCAUUGAAAGAUGCCUUUAUCCCACCUCUCCAAAGCCGUUAUCUGCACGAUCCAGUAUCCUAAACUACAAUAAUUACUCCCCCGCC
RNAcentral lists this long non-coding RNA (796 nucleotides) under Setaria viridis. RNAcentral describes it as "long non-coding RNA (SVIR_LNC000049)". The record is from RNAcentral. Lineage: Eukaryota; Viridiplantae; Streptophyta; Magnoliopsida; Poales; Poaceae.